AUUGAACGCUGGCGGCAUGCUUUACACAUGCAAGUCGAACGGUAACAGGCCUUCGGGUGCUGACGAGUGGCGAACGGGUGAGUAAUGCAUCGGAACGUACCCAGAGGUGGGGGAUAACGCAGCGAAAGCUGUGCUAAUACCGCAUGUGAUCUGAGGAUGAAAGCGGGGGACCGAGCUGCAAUGUUUGGCCUCGCGCCUUUGGAGCGGCCGAUGUCGGAUUAGCUAGUUGGUGGGGUAAAGGCCUACCAAGGCGACGAUCCGUAGCUGGUCUGAGAGGACGACCAGCCACACUGGGACUGAGACACGGCCCAGACUCCUACGGGAGGCAGCAGUGGGGAAUUUUGGACAAAGGGCGCAAGCCUGAUCCAGCAAUGCCGCGUGCGGGAAGAAGGCCUUCGGGUUGUAAACCGCUUUUGGCAGGAACGAAACGGUGUCCGCUAAUACCGGGCGCUAAUGACGGUACCUGCAGAAUAAGCACCGGCUAACUACGUG
Molecule: ribosomal RNA, 492 nt
Filed under: uncultured bacterium
Lineage: Bacteria
Description: partial 16S ribosomal RNA
Rfam family: Bacterial small subunit ribosomal RNA
Source: RNAcentral